Molecule: ribosomal RNA, 253 nt
Filed under: uncultured bacterium
Lineage: Bacteria
Description: partial 16S ribosomal RNA
Rfam family: Bacterial small subunit ribosomal RNA
Source: RNAcentral
UACGUAGGGUGCAAGCGUUGUCCGGAAUUAUUGGGCGUAAAGAGCUCGUAGGCGGUCUGUUGCGUCGGCUGUGAAAGCCCGGGGCUCAACCCCGGGUCGGCCGUGCGAACUGCGUCGCUCGAGCAUGGUAGAGGCGGGUGGAAUUCCGGGUGUAGCGGUGGAAUGCGUAGAGAUCCGGAAGAACACCGGUGGCGAAGGCGGCCCGCUGGGCCAUGGCUGACACUGAGGCGCGACGGCGUGGGGAGCAAACAGG